GGGGAUUUAGCUCAGCGGCAUAAGCGCCUGCCUUGCAAGCAGGCAGUUGUGAGUUCGAUCCCCGGUACCCA
RNAcentral lists this transfer RNA (71 nucleotides) under Cavia porcellus (domestic guinea pig). It matches the Rfam family "tRNA". From Rfam's summary of the family: Transfer RNA (tRNA) molecules are approximately 80 nucleotides in length. Their secondary structure includes four short double-helical elements and three loops (D, anti-codon, and T loops). Lineage: Eukaryota; Metazoa; Chordata; Mammalia; Rodentia; Caviidae. The record is from Rfam by way of RNAcentral.